This 505-nucleotide ribosomal RNA is filed under the name uncultured bacterium. RNAcentral's name for it is "partial 16S ribosomal RNA". It matches the Rfam family "Bacterial small subunit ribosomal RNA", at positions 28 to 507 of the family's 1533-position model. The record is from RNAcentral.
GACGAACGCUGGCGGCGUGCCUAAUACAUGCAAGUAGAACGCACAGUUUAUACCGUAGCUUGCUACACCAUAGACUGUGAGUUGCGAACGGGUGAGUAACGCGUAGGUAACCUGCCUGGUAGCGGGGGAUAACUAUUGGAAACGAUAGCUAAUACCGCAUAAUAUUAAUUAUUGCAUGAUAAUUAAUGGAAAGGUGCAAUUGCACCACUACCAGAUGGACCUGCGUUGUAUUAGCUAGUAGGGGAGGUAACGGCUCACCUAGGCGACGAUACAUAGCCGACCUGCGAGGGUGGUCGGCCACACUGGGACUGUGACACGGCCCAGACUCCUACGGGAGGCAGCAGUAGGGAAUCGUCGGCAAUGGACGAAAGUCUGACCGAGCAACGCCGCGUGAGUGAAGAAGGUUUUCGGAUCGUAAAGCUCUGUUGUAAGGGAAGAACGGGUGUGAGAGUGGAAAGUUCACACUGUGACGGUAUCUUACCAGAAAGGGACGGCUAACUACGUG